UUGACAUGGCAGGAACUUUCCAGAGAUGGAUUGGUGCUCGAAAGAGAACCUGCACACAGGUGCUGCAUGGCUGUCGUCAGCUCGUGUCGUGAGAUGUUGGGUUAAGUCCCGCAACGAGCGCAACCCUUGUCAUUAGUUGCUACGAAAGGGCACUCUAAUGAGACUGCCGGUGACAAACCGGAGGAAGGUGGGGAUGACGUCAAGUCCUCAUGGCCCUUAUGGGUAGGGCUUCACACGUCAUACAAUGGUCGGUACAGAGGGUUGCCAAGCCGCGAGGUUGAGCCAAUCCCAGAAAACCGAUCGUAGUCCGGAUCGCAGUCUGCAACUCGACUGCGUGAAGUCGGAAUCGCUAGUAAUCGCGGAUCAGAAUGCCGCGGUGAAUACGUUCCCGGGUCUUGUACACAC
Molecule: ribosomal RNA, 405 nt
Filed under: uncultured bacterium
Lineage: Bacteria
Description: bacterial SSU rRNA
Rfam family: Bacterial small subunit ribosomal RNA
Source: RNAcentral